UUUAACUCUAACUCUGUUUUCUGUGAGACUUCCUGAGACUCUCCUCAUGCUGUCAGUUCAUUUCUUGCACUCUGUUGCCCCCUAGUGAGACAACACACUCAUUCAUAUUCAAUAAGAAGGUUGUGGGAGGAGAAUUACCACAAACCAGCAACCGAAUCUUCCCUGAAGCUGAUCAAUCUGUCAGGUCUGCAGGAGCUGAGCUGCUGAACCGUCAGACAGAUUCCUCCGGUUUCAUGGUGCUUCACCAACGUGAUGGUUGCUACGGAGACACUGAUGCAUUUAUUAGCUGGCAGCUGGGACUAAUCCGUCUCCGGUGUUUCGUCAGCCCAGAUCAAAGCAGCUGCUGGUCUCAGGACUGUGUUACAACAUCUGUAUUCUCCUGGAAAGUAGGACGUCUUCACUCGCACACAGCACACACGUAUAUAUCUCCUGUGUAUUCAUACUGUCUGUAACAGUUACACGACAACCAUUUAUUAAAAAAACAGGAGGAACAAAGAGAUUUUUUGGUUUGAAAAUAAUCGGUUUCUGUUCCUCGACAUAUAAACAGCUCAUUUCCCUGCAUUCAAAACAAAACACGGACCUUACAGAUUGCAGAACUUUUCAGCAAACAACCAAAACUAUCAGCAAUUUUAUUCUCACUGCAACAAAAUGACUUUGUUUUUUAAUGAAUAUUAUAAAAAACAAUCACUAACAAAAUAUUUUUGCAAUUUUUCAUUUUCUCUGACAAAUGAAUUGUAAAAAUUGCCUAAAAGAUCUCAACAUGCAGCACAAUUGUUUUUAGAAAAGCUGCUGUGAAAUCCUGGAUGGACUAUAAAGCCUCGCCUCACGCUCCCCUUCAAGACGUGUGGGAGAAACUACGGUGGCUGUGCAAAUAAAACAUGAAUUGCCUCUAUCUAGAGCCAGUGUUUGGUUUGUCUGUUCUGGGCUACUGUAGAAACAUGGUGGUUCAACAUGGUGGACUCCACCAGAAGAGUAUCUUCAGUAUCUUGCUCAAGGAUACUUCGACAUGUGGCAGGAGGAGCCGGGGAUCGAACCACACAACCUUCCAAUUAGUGGACGACCCACUCUGCCUCUGAACCACAGCCGCCCAAAAAUGUAAUAUUAUUAUUACUUAAUGUAAAUAAGUAUAUGGCCAAAAGUAUGUGGACACCCCUGCAGUUAAAGCUACGUUUGUAAAAUCAGAAUUAGAAAACAAACCUUACCUUGUGAACAAGUAUUAAAAAACCAAAACCUUC
Dicentrarchus labrax (European seabass) is the source of this 1235-nucleotide long non-coding RNA. RefSeq lists it as uncharacterized. NCBI's taxonomy places the organism in Eukaryota, Metazoa, Chordata, Actinopteri, Moronidae. The record is from RefSeq and is a predicted model, not a curated record. The transcript has 2 exons.